GUACUCCUACGGGACGCAGCAGUGAGGAAUAUUGGUCAAUGGUCGGGAGACUGAACCAGCCAAGCCGCGUGAGGGAUGAAGGUACAGAGUAUCGUAAACCUCUUUUGUCAGGGAACAAAGGCGGGGACGCGUCCCCGGAUGAGGGUAUCUGAAGAAAAAGCAUCGGCUAACUCCGCGCCAGCAGCCGCGGUAAUACGGAGGAUGCGAGCGUUAUCCGGAUUUAUUGGGUUUAAAGGGUGCGCAGGCGGUCUGUUAAGUCAGCGGUAAA
This 268-nucleotide ribosomal RNA is filed under the name uncultured bacterium. RNAcentral's name for it is "partial 16S ribosomal RNA". It matches the Rfam family "Bacterial small subunit ribosomal RNA", at positions 333 to 598 of the family's 1533-position model. The record is from RNAcentral.